RNAcentral lists this ribosomal RNA (630 nucleotides) under uncultured archaeon. RNAcentral describes it as "bacterial SSU rRNA". It matches the Rfam family "Archaeal small subunit ribosomal RNA", at positions 31 to 672 of the family's 1478-position model. The record is from RNAcentral.
UUUCAGAGUGGGACUAAGCCCUGCGAAUUUAACGUAGUAAUACGUGGCAUACGGCUCAGUAACACGUAGUCAACAUGCCCAGAGGACGUGGAUAACCUCGGGAAACUGAGGAUAAACCGCGAUAAGUCAUGAUUCCUGGAAUGGUUCAUGGCUGAAAUCUAUAUGGCCUUUGGAUUGGACUGCGGCCGAUCAGGCUGUUGGUGAGGUAAUGGCCCACCAAACCUGUUACCGGUACGGGCUCUGAGAGGAGGAGCCCGGAGAUGGGCACUGAGACAAGGGCCCAGGCCCUAUGGGGCGCAGCAGGCGCGAAACCUCUGCAAUAGGCGAAAGCUUGACAGGGUUACUCUGAGUGAUUUCCGUUAAGGAGAUCUUUUGACACCUCUAAAAAUGGUGUAGAAUAAGGGGCGGGCAAGUCUGGUGUCAGCCGCCGCGGUAAUACCAGCACCCCGAGUGGUCGGGACGAUUAUUGGGCCUAAAGCAUCCGUAGCCGGUCCUACAAGUCUUCCGUUAAUCCACCUGCUCAACAGAUGGGCUGCGGAAGAUACUAUAGGGCUAGGAGGCGGGAGAGGCAAGCGGUACUCAGUGGGUAGGGGUAAAUCCUCUGAUCCAUUGAGACCACCAGUGCGAAGG